RNAcentral lists this antisense RNA (162 nucleotides) under Escherichia marmotae. Its description in RNAcentral is "Bacterial antisense RNA HPnc0260". It matches the Rfam family "Bacterial antisense RNA HPnc0260". Lineage: Bacteria; Pseudomonadati; Pseudomonadota; Gammaproteobacteria; Enterobacterales; Enterobacteriaceae. The record is from RNAcentral.
AACAAAGUCGCCAUCGUUAUUCUCCUUCUGAUAACACAUACGAAAAUAGUGUAAAUCUUUUAACGUAUUGGAUACAGAGAAUAAAUAAGGGAAUAAAAAUGAGGAGACCAGACUAAGAAAAUCUGGUGCGUCCGAGUGGACUCGAACCACCGACCCCCACCA